This 517-nucleotide ribosomal RNA is filed under the name uncultured bacterium. RNAcentral describes it as "bacterial SSU rRNA". It matches the Rfam family "Bacterial small subunit ribosomal RNA", at positions 28 to 534 of the family's 1533-position model. The record is from RNAcentral.
GAUGAACGCUAGCGGGAGGCUUAACACAUGCAAGUCGAGGGGCAGCAUAGGGUAGCAAUACUCUGAUGGCGACCGGCAAACGGGUGAGUAACGCGUAUGCAACCUACCCUGUACAGGGGGAUAACCCGGAGAAAUUCGGACUAAUAUCCCGUAAUAAUAUCCGGAGGCAUCUUUGGAUAUUUAAAGUUCCGACGGUACGGGAUGGGCAUGCGUAACAUUAACUGGUUGGUAAGGUAACGGCUUACCAAGGCUAUGAUGUUUAGGGGUCCUGAGAGGGUGGUCCCCCACACUGGUACUGAGACACGGACCAGACUCCUACGGGAGGCAGCAGUGAGGAAUAUUGGUCAAGUGGGCGCAAGCCUGAACCAGCCAUCCCGCGUGCAGGAAGACGGCCCUAUGGGUUGUAAACUGCUUUUCCAGGGAGAGAAACUUACGCACGUGUUGCGUGACUGACGGUACCCUGGGAAUAAGCAUCGGCUAACUCCGUGCCAGCACGCCGCGGUAAGCGACGAGAGUA